This 116-nucleotide ribosomal RNA is filed under the name Escherichia coli O121:H7 str. 2009C-3299. Lineage: Bacteria; Pseudomonadati; Pseudomonadota; Gammaproteobacteria; Enterobacterales; Enterobacteriaceae. The record is from RNAcentral.
CCUGUCGGCCNUAGCGCGGUGGUCCCACCUGACCCCAUGCCGAACUCAGAAGUGAAACGCCGUAGCGCCGAUGGUAGUGUGGGGUCUCCCCAUGCGAGAGUAGGGAACUGCCAGGC